Long non-coding RNA from Paramisgurnus dabryanus, 1190 nucleotides. RefSeq lists it as uncharacterized. The record is from RefSeq and is a predicted model, not a curated record. Lineage: Eukaryota; Metazoa; Chordata; Actinopteri; Cypriniformes; Cobitidae.
UUGUGUUGGACGGACGCUGUGAGUGCCUGCCGGGUUGAGUCGUUUGGAUGCUGGAGUACACCACUGUUGACACAUUCUGAGAGCUGUGGAGAGAGAGAGAGAGAACAGUUCAAAGCCAAGUAAGGGUGACCAUUGGAGUUGAACGAACACAUUGACACCUUUGUUGUUGUUGUGUCUGCAUGAAGGACUGGGUGAGCCGCAUCGAAGACAUUGUUUACAUUGGAGUAUGCCCUGGAAAAGGAGGAAAUAAGAAGAGAGAGAUCAAUUAGAGACUUUCCAGCCGUGAGUAACAGCAAAUCAGUGGUGAAUGUUGAAUACUUACAUUGUUAAAGGAGAGUGUAACCUGUUUAUAAGCGGCCCAACCAGGUGUGUGUGGUAGGUGGGCAAGCCGAAAGACGUGCAUUGCGCCGACGCUGGACAGCCAGGGUUUUGAACCAGGUUGAGACACUGCACGACGUAGCGAAAUACGAUCCCACUCUCCUAUUCAGGCAUAGUCCCGCCAGGAGAGGAGUACGGACCCUAACCUAUUCACUGGAGUGUGUGCUGUGCAACGUGUGAGUGACCUAUUUGACGUGAAUACACAAAGCUUUUGUAGUGUUGUGCCGUGUCCUUGUUGUUUGUACUCACCUCAGGAGGGAUUGAACCCCUGUGGAUGCCAUCGGGAGCCGCUACGAGGGUGCAUGCCCAGCCAAACAAAUUACGCCCUGUAACUGUGUCCAGCAGGAGCUUGACGGAAACGCCAAGUAAGAUCUUCGCCUGCCUUAGGGAAGAGGACGUGCAGUCAUUGGCCGCCUGAAAUACAUUCAAUGGGACGUUGUUAUGUCAGCCCCAGCCGAGUGCCAGACAAGGCCCCCCCCCGCCUCCUGCUGCAUUAGAUGAUGAUGGUGACGAGCAACGAGGCGCGCCACGGGAAGCCUUUCCACGCAGGAGGUGGGCCAUGGACGAAGGAGCUCCUCCAGGCCCUUGCCCUGCUAUCCCCUGGUCCCACAGAGAAGACUUCUCCCCUCCAACGUCGAGAAGUGAUAUUUUAGAUUCCCUAUCCCCACUCCCCAUUAUGUUUUAACUAAUUUAAAUAAAGUUUACUGUUUUAUUAUACUUAUCUCUCGUUGUUUGGUCAUUGGGGUGCUUUUGGGACCUCCUCGAGGUGGAACUUGGGAAGGAGCGAGACGCACACAGUCUGUGGUCCGCUC